Equus caballus (horse) is the source of this 2436-nucleotide long non-coding RNA. The record is from Ensembl. NCBI's taxonomy places the organism in Eukaryota, Metazoa, Chordata, Mammalia, Perissodactyla, Equidae.
GUACUGCCGUGUGUUGGGCUCAUAUGAGCCCCUAGGAUCCAGCAGUAAUCUGUAAACAACGUUCCUGCCCUCAUGGAACUUCCAUUCUAAGGUCAUUCGGGGGGACAACAAUAUCAACUAAAACGCCAGGCAGUGAAAACUCUGAAGAUAAAUGGAAGGAGGCUAUUUUGUGUCACAUCAUGGACGACGUCUCUUGGGAUUAUAUUUGAGUACAGGCCUCGAGAAGUAAGGGCUUGGAAGGCCUGCAGAUAUCUUGGGGAAGGAGUUCCUCUGUUUUAGGGGAAGUAGAAAGAGCCCGAGGUGAGAGUGUCAGGGGAACUUUAGGACCAAUAAGGCCAGUGUGACUGCAGAGGAAGGAGCACCAGGAAUGGCAGUAGGUGACGCCUUCAAAGAGGCAAAGGAAGCCCUUUCUGUGAAGUUUACGGCCCAGGCUAGCUCAGAAGACAGAUGUGACCCAAACUAACCAUACUGCGAUGAGGAUGAGCAAGGGAAAGUCAAGAGGCAACCUAGUGGAUCACAUUCUUCUCUUCCAUUAUGUGGCAACUGCCCUCCUUCUUCUGAAGAUCAGGGUCCUCACUGCUGGCUGGCUGGUGGGUGGCAGCUUCAAAAUCCCAUAUGAACAUCUGUUUUCUUAGACCACCCCUGCCAUUGUUGCAAGUUGAGUCCCUUGGAAGCAGACUCUGAGAUGGGAAUUAGCACAGAAGAAUUGAAUUGGCAACAAGAUUUUAUCUUAUUCACUGAUAUGCCACACAGAUUCUCCAAACUGUUUGAAGCCAGUAAGAGAGAAGGAAGAAAAGACGAUUCUAGGAUGACACCAGAUUUCUGGUUUUGAUAGCUGCAUUGAAGGAAGCUAGUGCUUCAUACCUACUUUCCUUGGGGGAAAAUGAAUGAAAAAGAGACUGAAUUCAAUCUUGAACAUGAUGAGUUUGAGAUGCCCAGAGCAUCCAAGAUAUUGAAAGUUGGAGAUGUUGAGAAUCCAUGGGAUGGACCAGACUGGAGCUGAAGAAGCCACUGGGAUUAGCACCCUGCAACGUUCAGAUGGUACAACUGAGGCUAUAUUGAGUAAGUGGUCUCACAACUUUGGUCUCAGGGCAGUCUAAGUCCUUGGAGUAGACAUGAUGGGACAGAAAGAACUACGAGGCAAAAAAGGCACUCUUUUCCAUGUCUAAUUCUACAACCUUAGACCACAUACAUUAGGAAUCAUUUUGUGAGCUGCUCUUGGAACUCACCAACCCCAAAUCAAAACAAAUGAGAAUUGCUGCCUGAAGAGUUAGUUGCCAUGUCAAGCCUACACAGCUCCAGGGGCAGGUUGCAAGCUGUUUACAGUCACUACUCGCUGCUGGCAUCUCCAGGCAGGCAUAGCUGUCCACAUAUUGUGCUGGCGCAUGUCACAUCGUAUCUGGGGUCUGAUUUGAGCAGCACACAUCCACAAUGGGAAAAUGAGGCUGGUCAGGUCCUACCCAUGGAGAUCAGAGUGAUCCAUGCCCACAUCUCCAGGUUUGAGCCGUGGUAGAAUCUGUGGCACCUGUCUUAGAAUUGAAAUUCCUUUAUGUGGCUUGGGAGUUGGGUGGGCUAGCUAGGGAGUUUGUCAUGAAGUUGCUUUUGCAUAGCAAGAAUACUACUUUUACUUAGAUUAUAUGUUUAUUUGGAAUGACUUUGAGGGUGGAGGCUAAUGGUUGUUUUGGGGGCAAAUGGCCCACUAAAGACACCCCUUAGUGCCAUCACUUGGGCCACCAUGUUGUUUUCAAAACCCGGCCAUGGCUUGGGGAGCUCAAUAACCAAUCUAUUAGCCAAAGUUAUAGACUUUUCAGGCUUCACAUACCUCUUGCCUUCCUUCUCACCCUCAGGGUACUUACCACAUCCAAUUCUUAGCAGGAUGCUUUCAUCAUUGAGUGGAGAAAUUGUGCCUCUGCAUGAGGAGAGCGUCUUCAUAAUGUUACAUAGCACUUAGGAUCCAAGUUCUUAUUCAAUGGGUGUGCUUGAUUUCUGAGCCUGAGACUUCCAUAACACCAUUGACACAGACUUGUGUUGAGAGUUUAUCAGACCCUCCACCUCCCAAUGCUCUUUGUUAUGAAGAAGGAUGCCAACUCUUCUCACCUGACAGCUGCCUCUAGAAAAUUCCUCUCCAAGCCUAUGUCUGUUUUCUAACCACUGACAACUACACCUGCUCUUUGGUACCUGGAUCUCCAUACAAUUGUAGCAUUAUAGAAGGGAGGCAACACUGUCUGGAUGUUGGAGGGCAAUAAAUGAAAAGCCACAUCUCAGAUGUGUCUCUGUGCCUGGUAAUGGUCAUGACCUCUGCAUUUCCCAGACAUUUUCUGAAUGCCAAUAAGUGGGAUACUGGAAGAACUCACGGACCUGCAUGAUGCCACGCUCCUAGACAAGUAUUUUAUGGAGCUUCCAAACACUUUUCACAUGUUUGUGCGUUAAAAAAAU